UUACUAAUACUGUCAGCGAAGUGGCGACGGGGUGAGUAAUAUAUAGGUAACGUGCCCUAGAUGAAGAGGAUAACACCUGGAAACGGUUGCUAAGACUCUAUAUGCCUUUAAGACAUAAGUCUGCAAGGGAAAUAUUUAUAGCUCUAGGAUCGGCCUGUACGGUAUCAGCUUGUUGGUGAGGUAAUGGCUCACCAAGGCAAUGACACCUAACUGGUUUGAGAGGAUGAUCAGUCACACUGGAACUGAGACACGGUCCAGACUCCUACGGGAGGCAGCAGUGGGGAAUAUUGCACAAUGGACGAAAGUCUGAUGCAGCAACGCCGCGUGGAGGAUGACACAUUUCGGUGCGUAAACUCCUUUUAUAUAGGAAGAUAAUGACGGUACUAUAUGAAUAAGCGCCGGCUAACUCCGUGCCAGCAGCCGCGGUAAUACGGAGGGCGCAUGCGUUACUCGGAAUCACUGGGCGUAAAGAGCGUGUAGGCGUGUUAAUAAGUCAGAAGUGAAAUCCAAUAGCUC
RNAcentral lists this ribosomal RNA (516 nucleotides) under uncultured Arcobacter sp. RNAcentral's name for it is "bacterial SSU rRNA". It matches the Rfam family "Bacterial small subunit ribosomal RNA", at positions 76 to 610 of the family's 1533-position model. Lineage: Bacteria; Pseudomonadati; Campylobacterota; Epsilonproteobacteria; Campylobacterales; Arcobacteraceae. The record is from RNAcentral.